This 397-nucleotide ribosomal RNA is filed under the name uncultured bacterium. Its description in RNAcentral is "partial 16S ribosomal RNA". It matches the Rfam family "Bacterial small subunit ribosomal RNA", at positions 523 to 918 of the family's 1533-position model. The record is from RNAcentral.
AUACGUAGGUGACAAGCGUUAUCCGGAUUUACUGGGCGUAAAGGGCGUGUAGGCGGUCUUGCAAGUCAGAAGUGAAAUUCCUGAGCUCAACUCGGGCGCUGCUUCUGAAACUGCAGGACUUGAGUGCUGGAGGGGAUAGCGGAAUUCCUAGUGGAGCGGUAAAAUGCGCAGAUAUUAGGAAGAACACCGGUGGCGAAGGCGGCUUUCUGCAAAGUAACUGACGCUUAGGCGCGAAAGCGUGGGGAGCAAACAGGAUUAGAUACCCGGGUAGUCCACGCCGUAACCGAUGAAUACUAGGUGUAGGGGGUAUCGACUCCCUCUGUGCCGCAGUUAACACAAUAAGUAUUCCGCCUGGGGAGUACGGCCGCAAGGUUGAAACUCAAAUGAAUUGCCGGGG